RNAcentral lists this unclassified non-coding RNA (5553 nucleotides) under Lucilia cuprina (Australian sheep blowfly). RNAcentral's name for it is "potassium voltage-gated channel protein Shab, transcript variant X1". The stretch from base 2630 to 2743 matches the Rfam family "Potassium channel RNA editing signal". Lineage: Eukaryota; Metazoa; Arthropoda; Insecta; Diptera; Calliphoridae. The record is from RNAcentral.
CGUAUAAACAAAUUUCAAAUAAUAAAUAUAAUAAUUAAAAUUAAUAAUAUCUAUAAAAAAGUUAAUGCAAAACACAUUUACAACUAUACUAUAUACAUAAAAUAUUAAUAAUUCAUUUAUUUGUCUGCUCAAACUAAAUGUUCAUCGCAGAAACUUUUGCAUAUUUUUAGAAUCUGUCCAUCAGUUUGCUGUGCGUGAAAAAACUGAAAUUUUCUGAUUGUGACCAAUAUCAUCGUUUCCAUGUGGAGGAUAUAAAUUUCAAAUAAAAUCCAUUUGGCUGCCACAAAUAUAAAAAAUAAAAAAAUAACUUAUAAUUAACACAUCGUCAUUCAUACUUGCAUACAUUCAUAUGUAUAUAUUUACAUGCGAGAACAUACAUACAUGUAUAUAAUUAGAUAAAGUCUGUUGUAAUAAAGUAAAUUAUAAAAGUAAUAGUCCAUCAAGAAAACUUCAUUAGAAUAAAAAAUAUACAUAUUUUGUUGCAACAUCUCAAAAGAAGUAACUCAACAAAGAAAAAUCUGUGAUUUAAGUUUAAAAGACAGUAACAACAAACAUCCCUAGGACAACAAAUUUUUAUCUGCAAAACUUCUAGAAUAUCGAAAUCUUAGUUAAAUUAUUCAGAUUUUUAUGAAUUAAUGGUUUAUGUUAACAAAGCAAAGGAUCAAUAGAUGAAAUGUAGCGCGGUUCUAUGGUCGGCGAACGUGAUAGAGACCGUGAAACGGUACGCUGGGAAACGGGUGCGUCAACACCACCGACCCAAUACAAUAAUGGAGUAUUACAAAUGGUGGGACAAUUGCAUGGUGGACAGGCUACAAGCCAACAACAACAGCAGCAACAACAACAAACAAUACAACGUGAUUCACAACAGCAGCAGCAGCAACAACAACCGACACAACAAAUCAUACCAAAACAAAAACAAAUACAGCAACAGGAAUUUAACUAUCAACAACAAUCCAACAGCUGGAUCGAUAACGAAACUCUUGGACGCAACAGUGCAACAUCAACUACAACAACGGCCAAUAUCGGAGACGGCUGUGAUAAUCAACCCUACUACGACACCAGCGGUAAUGUCGAUUGGGGCCGGGCGAUGGGAACCGGUGGAACUGGUGCAUACAUUGGCGGCGAUGGAUCUAUCCCAACAGCUGGCAGUAUUGCUUAUAACGCUAGUCAAGGUACUACAGCCGCGCGAGGUACCGGCAUCAAUACCAGCGCCGCUACUGGUGUCAACAUGGAUUAUAUUGAUGGUAGCAGCAUUGCUGGCGCAUCCGCCACAACUACACACACUGCUGGCGGUAUGGCAAGUGGCAGUACGGCGAACGCUGUCGGUUGGUCAAACGAUGUCACACUGGUUGGCGUGCCUGGCAGUACGGCCAUUACGACUACAACUUCUGGUUCGGGCACUGGCAAAGAAGUUCGCUACGCUCCAUUCCCCAUCACCUCACCCACACAUUCGAAUCCCACUACUUCCCAACUGCACCAGGGUGCCAUUAAUGCUGGCGCUCUACAACGGACACAUUCCAGAUCAAUGUCCUCCAUCCCGCCGCCGGAACCUUUUAUGAUAGCACAGUCGAAGCAAAUGAACAGUCGCGUAUCCAUCAACGUGGGCGGAGUCAAACACGAAGUCCUCUGGCGCACCCUCGAACGUCUCCCCCACACACGUCUCGGCCGCCUUCACGAAUGCACGACCCAUGAAGCUAUCAUAGAGUUGUGCGAUGACUAUUCACUGGUCGACAACGAGUACUUCUUCGACCGUCAUCCCAAAAGUUUUAGUUCCAUUUUAAAUUUCUAUCGUACGGGUAAAUUGCACAUUGUCGACGAGAUGUGUGUGCUGGCCUUCAGCGAUGAUCUCGAGUAUUGGGGCGUCGAUGAACUCUACCUGGAGUCGUGCUGUCAGCACAAGUACCAUCAGCGCAAAGAAAACGUACACGAAGAAAUGCGCAAAGAAGCCGAAUCGCUACGACAAAGAGACGAAGAAGAAUUUGGUGAAGGUAAAUGCGCUGAAUAUCAGAAAUACUUAUGGGAAUUGCUAGAAAAACCGAAUACAAGUUUUGCCGCCAGGGUUAUCGCUGUGAUAUCCAUACUAUUUAUAGUCCUGUCUACCAUAGCCCUGACGUUGAACACCCUACCACAGUUACAACAUUAUGAUAAUGAUACGGGUACACCAACAGAUAAUCCACAAUUGGCUAUGGUUGAGGCCGUUUGUAUAUCGUGGUUUACGCUAGAGUAUAUACUUAGGUUUAGUGCGUCGCCAGACAAGUGGAAGUUUUUUAAAGGCGGCUUAAAUAUAAUCGAUCUAUUGGCAAUACUCCCUUAUUUUGUUUCCCUGUUUUUGUUGGAGACAAACAAGAAUGCUACGGACCAGUUCCAGGAUGUGCGCCGGGUGGUGCAAGUUUUUCGCAUCAUGCGCAUCCUGCGAAUCCUUAAGCUGGCCCGUCACUCAACGGGCCUGCAGUCGUUAGGCUUUACCCUACGCAAUUCAUAUAAGGAACUCGGUCUACUAAUGCUGUUCCUGGCUAUGGGCGUUCUCAUAUUUUCUUCGCUGGCAUAUUUUGCCGAAAAGGAUGAAAAGGAUACAAAAUUCGUUUCAAUACCGGAAACAUUUUGGUGGGCGGGUAUUACAAUGACAACUGUUGGCUACGGGGACAUCUAUCCCACUACUGCACUGGGAAAGGUUAUUGGUACUGUGUGUUGCAUAUGCGGUGUUCUGGUAAUCGCUUUGCCUAUUCCCAUCAUAGUUAACAAUUUCGCUGAAUUUUAUAAGAAUCAGAUGAGACGCGAGAAGGCGCUCAAACGCCGUGAGGCGCUCGAUCGUGCCAAACGUGAGGGUAGCAUUGUUUCUUUCCAUCAUAUCAAUCUGAAAGAUGCCUUUGCCAAAUCCAUGGAUCUCAUCGAUGUCAUUGUUGAUACAGGAAGCAAACAAACAAAUGUCGUUCAUCCAAAAUGUAGAAACAGACAGUCAGCAACAAAUAUAGGAAAACAACCUCUAAGUAAAAUUCUGUCAGAAAAGCGCGAAAGUCGCAAUAGAUCCAUAAACAAUUGGCAACGUUUAACAAAAGCCCUACGACGAUCGUUACCCACAGGGCACAAUCUCUCUCAGACGGAUGGGAAUAGCACUGAAGGCGAUUCAACCAGUGGACGAAACCCGGCUACAACAGGAAUUGGUUGCUAUAAGAACUAUGAUCAUGUCUCCAAUCUAAGAAACUCUAAUGUUCCACAUCAUCGUUCUUCAUCAGUACCUGACCAUAAUGAUGCAGUCCCACCCUACUCCUUUGAAAAUCCCAAUGCUCGUCAAACCUCUAUGAUGGCCAUGGAAAGUUAUAAACGCGAACAGCAGGCGUUGCAACAACAGCAGCAGCAACAACAACUGUUGCAAUCUAUUUCACCAGCACUGGCAUUGCCCUCGAAUGCAAUUUCUACAAACGCACCAAGUUCUGCGGGCUUAAUACCAGCUCCACAAACGACAUCUGGUCUUGUAUCAGAUGAUGCUGCUGCCAAUACCUCACAGGCUGGUGAUGACAAUGCUCCAACAUCUAUUAUACCCGUCCAAAUGAUGAUAAAACCAGGGGAAGUGGCAGAGUUGCGUCGCCAGGUGGCGCUUGAAAAUUUGCAAAAUCAACGCAUGGAUAAUUAUGAUCAAGAUGUACCUGUGGAAUUUGAAUGCUGUUUUUGCACAUCAAAGGACUUCAAGGAAUUCACUGAUGCCGAAGGUGUAAUCUCACUUCCAACAUCGGACUUCCAUAAACCAAUUUGUUAUGAAAUGCGGCAAGCGGCUAAUCGUGAUCUACAGCAAACUCUUCCAUUUGGCCUACUGACAACAGCAGCGGCGGUACCCCUACCAACUACCGCAACUAUACCGUCGAGCCAAAUGCAACAGCAGCAGCAGCAACAACAACUCUUAGCUGGCAUUAUCUCAGCCACGACGGGUACAACACAAACUGAAUUGUUAUAUUCUGCCGGCAGCGGAGGCGGUAUUAUACGAGCUCCAAUGCCAUACACUGCCACUGGCGCUGCGCCAAUUUCACAAUCAUCUUCGACCUCAUCGUCGUACGGUACUACAACAUCGACCACAAUAGCGCUGCCAUUAGAUACGCCUCUGAGAUAUCCACCGUACAUAACUAGCAGCAGUAUCAGUUCCACUGUUAAUAACUUCAACCACAACUACAAUAACAACUUCAAUACAACAUCUCUGGGAACUUGCCAUCCGCUGUCAAUGAGCACAAGCCAACAAGGUGCACUACCAGCACUGGGGAACAAUUACAGCAACAAUAAUUUGAAUAAUUUGAAUUUCAAUAACAACAAUGCCGAUCUGGCGAGCGUAGACAGUUCUGAUACGUAUGCCAGUUGUCAAACCCACCCAUUUUUGUCGCAAGGUGAUCUAACGUCCGACUUUAACGACGAGGUGUGUGCCUUAGACAUAGACAUGGACAAUUUGUAUAUAAAUCCGUUGGAAAAAGAUUCGGCCGGUAAUACAACAACCGGUUAUAUGGUCGGUUUGCCGCCUACCCCCUCCUCUGGCCAGAUACGGGCCCACGUCAAGAAGAGUGCCUCGGGUGAUACGGCUUUGCGAAAUUUGGCAGCCGGCGGUCUAAGUCCCAUGGAUGAUGUUUACCAAAGUGCAUUCGAUGCCCACGAUCGUGGUAGUCAUAUUAGUCUUAACGAGAAUCCAGUGCCAAAACAUCGUAAAACACGAUUCCAGCAAAGCUUUACCGUAGCAUUGCCACCCCACUCCGCCGUUAGUGCAAUUGGACAGUCAUCGGCGAAACCACGAGCACGUUUCGAAGACUCGAAGUUAUCGCAUGAAAAUCUGGGAAGUGAAAGCAGUCCUGCGAGUAGUACGGGAAAAAAGAAACGUUCCUCGUUUAUGCCCGGUAAAAGUUUAGCCACUGCCACUAAAUUAAUAAAUCAGCACCUGUUUGGUAUACAAAAUGUUGGACCCAAAGCCAAAUUUGAAAGUAAACAUUCCUCAUCGAUAGACUCUAUAGAUGCAUCGCCAAAUUUAGAACAUCAUCGACGAUCCAAGUCGAUAUUGAAAAAUAAAUCGGAUGUGUCGCGAGUACUGGCAGAUCCUGAAAGUGAACGUCUGCUAGCGGACAAUAUGUCUGGGUCUGGUGUCUCAGAUAAUGGCACUGUCAUGGGCGAGUCUGGCAGUGAUUACUCACCGAAUAAAUUACCUCAUUCAGUUUUAGCUAAGUCAAUAUCCCCACCACCCCUUAGGCAUCGUACCCUAAUGCAACAACGCUCAGGUCCGGCUAAUCUACAAUCGAAACCGACCAAAUUUCAAACACCACGCUAUCCGGAGGAACAAGCCUUACGUCAGGUUAAACCGGUACUGGCCCGUUCCGCCGCAGCAUCUCAUAUGUCCGGUGAUAGUAACCGUUACGAUUCAACGAAUAGAGACAGUAGUUUAGUCAUAUUCGAUGCUGCAUUUUAAUCGAGAUCAUCUUUAAAACUAAAAUUACUCUUUCAAGAACUGCAUGUCUCUAAAACAUUCCAAGCAUUCAGAUUUUUGUUUUGUUAUGGAUACCUCUAAGUUUUGUCAUACCAUUCGCAGAU